This 200-nucleotide ribosomal RNA is filed under the name uncultured bacterium. Its description in RNAcentral is "partial 16S ribosomal RNA". It matches the Rfam family "Bacterial small subunit ribosomal RNA", at positions 8 to 217 of the family's 1533-position model. The record is from RNAcentral.
AGAGUUUGAUCCUGGCUCAGGACUAACGCUGGCGGCGUGCCUAACACAUGCAAGUCGAACGGGGUAGCAAUACCCAGUGGCAGACGGGUGAGUAACACGUGGUCAACCUAUCUUCGCGUGGGGGAUAACUAGCCGAAAGGUUAGCUAAUACCGCAUACGAUCGUUUGAAGGCAUCUUCGAACGAUGAAAGGAGCAAUCCG